CGGGUGAGUAACACGUGAGCAACCUACCUUGGAGUGGGGGAUAACCUUCCCAACGGAGGGCUAAUACCGCAUAUGGCGAUAGUGGGAUAUCCCACAGUCGUGAGAGCCUACGGGCGCUCCUUGAUGGGCUCGCGUCCUAUUAGGUAGUUGGUGAGGUAACGGCUCACCAAGCUGACGAUGGGUAGCCGACCUGAGAGGGUGAUCGGCCACACUGGGACUGAGAUACGGCCCAG
Molecule: ribosomal RNA, 233 nt
Filed under: uncultured bacterium
Lineage: Bacteria
Description: partial 16S ribosomal RNA
Rfam family: Bacterial small subunit ribosomal RNA
Source: RNAcentral